AUGAUAUUUUGCCACUAUAUAGCUCAGACGCUGUACGGACCCUGCCAACAGGAUAUCCAGUUUAACAAAAGUUGUAAGACAGUUGGAUUCUUUACGAACUGGAUUAGAGAAAUGCAAAAUACUAAUACCAAGCACUUUAACCAUAGGCUGCAUAUAAAUCCACAAUAA
Molecule: long non-coding RNA, 168 nt
Filed under: Coturnix japonica (Japanese quail)
Lineage: Eukaryota; Metazoa; Chordata; Aves; Galliformes; Phasianidae
Description: lncRNA (ENSCJPG00005017566.1)
Source: RNAcentral